Molecule: ribosomal RNA, 1063 nt
Filed under: Lactiplantibacillus plantarum
Lineage: Bacteria; Bacillati; Bacillota; Bacilli; Lactobacillales; Lactobacillaceae
Description: bacterial SSU rRNA
Rfam family: Bacterial small subunit ribosomal RNA
Source: RNAcentral
CUCAGGACGAACGCUGGCGGCGUGCCUAAUACAUGCAAGUCGAACGAACUCUGGUAUUGAUUGGUGCUUGCAUCAUGAUUUACAUUUGAGUGAGUGGCGAACUGGUGAGUAACACGUGGGAAACCUGCCCAGAAGCGGGGGAUAACACCUGGAAACAGAUGCUAAUACCGCAUAACAACUUGGACCGCAUGGUCCAAGUUUGAAAGAUGGCUUCGGCUAUCACUUUUGGAUGGUCCCGCGGCGUAUUAGCUAGAUGGUGGGGUAACGGCUCACCAUGGCAAUGAUACGUAGCCGACCUGAGAGGGUAAUCGGCCACAUUGGGACUGAGACACGGCCCAAACUCCUACGGGAGGCAGCAGUAGGGAAUCUUCCACAAUGGACGAAAGUCUGAUGGAGCAACGCCGCGUGAGUGAAGAAGGGUUUCGGCUCGUAAAACUCUGUUGUUAAAGAAGAACAUAUCUGAGAGUAACUGUUCAGGUAUUGACGGUAUUUAACCAGAAAGCCACGGCUAACUACGUGCCAGCAGCCGCGGUAAUACGUAGGUGGCAAGCGUUGUCCGGAUUUAUUGGGCGUAAAGCGAGCGCAGGCGGUUUUUUAAGUCUGAUGUGAAAGCCUUCGGCUCAACCGAAGAAGUGCAUCGGAAACUGGGAAACUUGAGUGCAGAAGAGGACAGUGGAACUCCAUGUGUAGCGGUGAAAUGCGUAGAUAUAUGGAAGAACACCAGUGGCGAAGGCGGCUGUCUGGUCUGUAACUGACGCUGAGGCUCGAAAGUAUGGGUAGCAAACAGGAUUAGAUACCCUGGUAGUCCAUACCGUAAACGAUGAAUGCUAAGUGUUGGAGGGUUUCCGCCCUUCAGUGCUGCAGCUAACGCAUUAAGCAUUCCGCCUGGGGAGUACGGCCGCAAGGCUGAAACUCAAAGGAAUUGACGGGGGCCCGCACAAGCGGUGGAGCAUGUGGUUUAAUUCGAAGCUACGCGAAGAACCUUACCAGGUCUUGACAUACUAUGCAAAUCUAAGAGAUUAGACGUUCCCUUCGGGGACAUGGAUACAGGUGGUGCAUGGUU